UCCCAAAUAGCUCAGUUGGUUAGAGCAUUCCGCCUAAGGCGGAUUAAUCAGAGGGUCGCUGGUUCAAGUCCAGCUUUGGGAG
This 82-nucleotide transfer RNA is filed under the name Sediminibacterium goheungense. RNAcentral describes it as "tRNA-Leu". It matches the Rfam family "tRNA". From Rfam's summary of the family: Transfer RNA (tRNA) molecules are approximately 80 nucleotides in length. Lineage: Bacteria; Pseudomonadati; Bacteroidota; Chitinophagia; Chitinophagales; Chitinophagaceae. The record is from RNAcentral.